This 477-nucleotide long non-coding RNA is filed under the name Vitis vinifera (wine grape). RNAcentral describes it as "long non-coding RNA (VVIN_LNC001725)". Lineage: Eukaryota; Viridiplantae; Streptophyta; Magnoliopsida; Vitales; Vitaceae. The record is from RNAcentral.
UCACUUAACAAUGUCACCAGUGGUGGGAUUGCCCCUGAAGCACCAAUUGUAACCUUAUUCUCAUCCACCACCGAAAGGCUAAAGAGGGUAGCUGCAGCAUUUUCCCGUGCUUCCAUGCUCCCCCUCUUGAGCACAUAAACUAUACCAGGUACAGCUCCAGAGUUAAUAAUGCUUGAUUUGUUAUCUUCACAUAUGGAAAGGUUAAGAAGCGCUGUGACAGCAUGCUCUUGGGUGCGGGAAUCAGGUGUUGCAAGGAGGUUGACCAGGAGAGGGAUGGCCCCCGCUUCGGCAAUGGCCACUCGAUUAUCUGCAUUGCGCUUAGCAAGAAGGCGGAUCUCACCUGCUGCAUUUCGCUGGUCUUCAGGGCUGCCAGAUCGAAGCUUGUUGAGAAGAAUUUCUAUGUUGGUGCGCUCAGCUGGUGAGCAGGAAGAUGCAGUUUUACUGGGCCGAGAACUGCUGGGUCUUUUUGGUGGCUCG